RNAcentral lists this ribosomal RNA (197 nucleotides) under Klebsiella pneumoniae subsp. pneumoniae ST258-K26BO. RNAcentral's name for it is "Large Subunit Ribosomal RNA; lsuRNA; LSU rRNA". It matches the Rfam family "Bacterial large subunit ribosomal RNA", at positions 2734 to 2925 of the family's 2925-position model. The record is from RNAcentral. Lineage: Bacteria; Pseudomonadati; Pseudomonadota; Gammaproteobacteria; Enterobacterales; Enterobacteriaceae.
GCCGUGNNGNNGUAGCUAAAUGCGGAAGAGAUAAGUGCUGAAAGCAUCUAAGCACGAAACUUGCCCCGAGAUGAGUUCUCCCUGAGACUAUAAGUCUCCUGAAGGAACGUUAAAGACGACGACGUUGAUAGGCCGGGUGUGUAAGCGCAGCGAUGCGUUGAGCUAACCGGUACUAAUGAACCGUGAGGCUUAACCUU